This is a long non-coding RNA of Dama dama (fallow deer), 625 nucleotides long. RefSeq lists it as uncharacterized. The record is from RefSeq and is a predicted model, not a curated record. NCBI's taxonomy places the organism in Eukaryota, Metazoa, Chordata, Mammalia, Artiodactyla, Cervidae. The transcript is spliced from 2 exons.
UCGGCUCCGCGGUGCCAGCCCGCUGUGACGCAGGCCGCCGGGCCCGGGAACUUCCUCCCGCGGAGACCACCCCGCGCCCGGGCCGGCCGCCCAGGACAGCCGCCGGCCGCCGAGGACUUCCUUCAGGGCGCCCAAGAAGAUCUCCCGCCGCUUGCCGGGGGAGCCCCUCCGGCCUCUGGAACGCCCACCUGGCGGCCAGUGCCUGAGGAAUGGACCGGGGCCACUACCUUCCCCAUCCCGAACCCGAGGCUUCCCUGCGCUGGCGGCCGCGCCACGGUCGCAGCUCCACCCCGGGGAUGAAAAGCGAACUCUGCCUUAUUGAAAGCCGAGUCACCUGAAUAGAAAAUCUCCCCAAUGGAAAAAUGUACAGACAAGAUUGCUAAGUAAUAUAAGAUCUUCUGGAAUGCCUUACCAAUAUGAGUUUUUCUAAGAGCACCAACAAUUAUACGAUUGCUUUGUGUUGGCAUUCAGGAAAAGAGGGGCGUAUGCCAGCAGAGCAAUUCAUAGACAGCUAGUCUUUUGCUAGUUGGUUUGUUCUUACACACCAAACCUUAAGAAAGCAGGCCUCUCUCCUUUUACCCCAUUUUUAUCUCCAAGUCAAAAUUAAAAUUUGUCAAAAAGUUGA